RNAcentral lists this ribosomal RNA (429 nucleotides) under Bacteroidota bacterium. RNAcentral describes it as "Bacteroidetes bacterium partial 16S ribosomal RNA". It matches the Rfam family "Bacterial small subunit ribosomal RNA", at positions 355 to 776 of the family's 1533-position model. Lineage: Bacteria; Pseudomonadati; Bacteroidota. The record is from RNAcentral.
UAGGGAAUCUUCCGCAAUGGGCGAAAGCCUGACGGAGCAACGCCGCGUGAGUGAUGAAGGUCUUCGGAUCGUAAAACUCUGUUAUUAGGGAAGAACAAAUGUGUAAGUAACUAUGCACGUCUUGACGGUACCUAAUCAGAAAGCCACGGCUAACUACGUGCCAGCAGCCGCGGUAAUACGUAGGUGGCAAGCGUUAUCCGGAAUUAGUGGGCGUAAAGCGCGCGUAGGCGGUUUUUUAAGUCUGAUGUGAAAGCCCACGGCUCAACCGUGGAGGGUCAUUGGAAACUGGAAAACUUGAGUGCAGAAGAGGAAAGUGGAAUUCCAUGUGUAGCGGUGAAAUGCGCAGAGAUAUGGAGGAACACCAGUGGCGAAGGCGACUUUCUGGUCUGUAACUGACGCUGAUGUGCGAAAGCGUGGGAAUCAAACAGG